This is a long non-coding RNA of Acanthochromis polyacanthus (spiny chromis), 898 nucleotides long. RefSeq lists it as uncharacterized. Lineage: Eukaryota; Metazoa; Chordata; Actinopteri; Pomacentridae. The record is from RefSeq and is a predicted model, not a curated record. The transcript is spliced from 3 exons.
UCAGAACCAGAACCUGCAGCUGUUCAGCUUCUCACUUCACAACAUAAAACCCGGUCUACUCUAGAACUUUCUCCAACUGUCGGUAGGUCUACUCUAGAACUUUCUCCAGAUGUCGGUAGGUCUACUCUAGAACUUUCUCCAGGUGUCAGUAGGUCUACUCUAGAACUUUCUCCAGGUGUCAGUAGGUCUACUCUAGAACUUUCUCCAACUGUCGGUAGGUCUACUCUAGAACUUUCUCCAGGUGUCAGUAGGUCUACUCUAGAACUUUCUCCAGUUGUCGGUAGGUCUACUCUAGAACUUUCUCCAGGUGUCAGUAGGUCUACUCUAGAACUUUCUCCAGAUGUCGGUAGGUCUACUCUGGAACUUUCUCCAGGUGUCAGUAGGUCUACUCUAGAACUUUCCCCAGUUGUCGGUAGGUCUACUCUAGAACUUUCUCCAGAUGUCGGUAGGUCUACUAUAGAACUUUCUCCAGUUGUCGGUAGGUCUACUCUAGAACUUUCUCCAACUGUCGGUAGGUCUACUCUAGAACUUUCUCCAACUGUCGGUAGGUCUACUCUAGAACUUUCUCCAGAUGUCGAUAGGUCUACUCUAGAACUUUCUCCAGGUGUCAGUAGGUCUACUCUAGAACUUUCUCCAGUUGUCGGUAGAUCUACUCUAGAACUUUCUAUAGUUGUCGAUAGGUCUACUCUAGAACUUUCUUCAGUUGUCGGUAGGUCUACUUUAGAAUUUUUUCCAGAUGUCGGUAGGUCUACUCUAGAACUUUCUAUGGUUUUCUGUAGGUCUACUCUAGAACUUUCUAUGGUUUUCUAUAGGACUACUCUCGAACUUUCUCCAGCUGUCAGUAGGUCUGCUCUAGAACUUUCUCCAGUUGUCGGUAGAUCUACUCUAGAACUUUCCC